This 995-nucleotide ribosomal RNA is filed under the name Streptococcus pneumoniae. Its description in RNAcentral is "partial 23S ribosomal RNA". It matches the Rfam family "Bacterial large subunit ribosomal RNA", at positions 1928 to 2925 of the family's 2925-position model. RNAcentral also lists the same sequence under 1 other name. Lineage: Bacteria; Bacillati; Bacillota; Bacilli; Lactobacillales; Streptococcaceae. The record is from RNAcentral.
CGGCGGCCGUAACUAUAACGGUCCUAAGGUAGCGAAAUUCCUUGUCGGGUAAGUUCCGACCCGCACGAAAGGCGUAACGAUUUGGGCACUGUCUCAACGAGAGACUCGGUGAAAUCAUAGUACCUGUGAAGAUGCAGGUUACCCGCGACAGGACGGAAAGACCCCGUGGAGCUUUACUGUAGCCUGAUAUUGAAAUUCGGCACAGCUUGUACAGGAUAGGUAGGAGCCUUUGAAACGUGAGCGCUAGCUUACGUGGAGGCGUUGGUGGGAUACUACCCUAGCUGUGUUGGCUUUCUAACCCGCACCACUUAUCGUGGUGGGAGACAGUGUCAGGCGGGCAGUUUGACUGGGGCGGUCGCCUCCUAAAAGGUAACGGAGGCGCUCAAAGGUUCCCUCAGAAUGGUUGGAAAUCAUUCAUAGAGUGUAAAGGCAUAAGGGAGCUUGACUGCGAGACCUACAAGUCGAGCAGGGUCGAAAGACGGACUUAGUGAUCCGGUGGUUCCGCAUGGAAGGGCCAUCGCUCAACGGAUAAAAGCUACCCCGGGGAUAACAGGCUUAUCUCCCCCAAGAGUUCACAUCGACGGGGAGGUUUGGCACCUCGAUGUCGGCUCAUCGCAUCCUGGGGCUGUAGUCGGUCCCAAGGGUUGGGCUGUUCGCCCAUUAAAGCGGUACGCGAGCUGGGUUCAGAACGUCGUGAGACAGUUCGGUCCCUAUCCGUCGUGGGCGUAGGAAAUUUGAGAGGAGCUGUCCUUAGUACGAGAGGACCGGGAUGGACAUACCUCUGGUGUACCAGUUGUCGUGCCAACGGCAUAGCUGGGUAGCUAUGUAUGGACGGGAUAAGUGCUGAAAGCAUCUAAGCAUGAAGCCCCCCUCAAGAUGAGAUUUCCCAACUUCGGUUAUAAGAUCCCUCAGAGAUGAUGAGGUUAAUAGGUUCGAGGUGGAAGCGUGGUGACACGUGGAGCUGACGAAUACUAAUCGAUCGAAGACUUAAUCAA